GGGGGGGGGGCGGCGCCCGCCGCCUAGCGACGCUGCGCGGCCUCGGCGGCUCCGGGCGAGAAUAAACUCCAGGGUGUUGUUUCACUAACCAAAGAAUGAUCUGCGGGAAACACUGAGCUACAGACAUCAUUCCUUUGGGAAGACAAGGCCUGGGGGAACAGAUCACCAGAAGAACAUGAUAGCUUGAAACAUUCAUUUGGAAAAUACCUUUAUGUAGCUGAUAUGAAAAGAAUGUUGAGGUAUUCUGCUAUGGAUAAAGGAAUGGAGAAAAUGGGAAAUAUAUUCUUGAUUGAAUGCCUCCAGUGUUCAGCCUCUCAAUGGAUCAAAUCAGAUGAAUACCCAGCAGGAGAUGCAUCCUAUGAGACUCUUCCUGGAUGCAUUUUGCGAGGGACUCCUCAAAUUCCUCUCAAGGAAGUACAAACCUUUGUAUUGCAGUAAUGUGUGAUUCCUGGUUCCUGUUUUAAGUGCUACAGAACCAUCAUUGACUGGUUUACUGAUGCAGGCUUGGAUCUUUCCCAACUUUCCCCUGUCUAAAAUUGAAGACGCUAAUAAUAUUAUAUAACAUCACCUACAUUUUCCGUUUGGUUUCCUUCAAGGGGGAUUUUGCUUACUGUGUAUAAUUUUUUUCUGCUCUAAGAAAGUUGUUCUUUCAGUUUGAUACUACCCCAUAAGUGAUUUAAAGAAUGCUAGAUUAUGGAUAAAAGUUAGUUUUCUGUAUUUGUUACUUUUCACUUCUCAUAAAAGAGGGUUAUCCAUAGUCUGCACAGUACUUCCCAUACCUGUAUGUCAAAUACACUUCAUGAAAUACCCCUUCCCAAUUUCUGUGGUGUAAAUGGUCUGUCUACAGUAGAGGGAAAAAUAUUGGUCUUUUAACUAGUGCCUCCUAACGGGGGUUAGAUUGGAGGCCAUUUGUUUUCCAAGUAGAAUGCUUGACAAACAUGAUUUCUAGGGUUUGGGACUUUUUGUCCAGAACAGUUAUACGCACACAUACAACAUUCAUAAAAUCAUAAUAUGAUCAAUUCUAAUAACUUUAUCAUGUCUCACUGCUGUUACUUCAUUUAAAUGGUUAGUUUGAAAUAUUCUCACUGAACAAAAUCUGAUAUCUAGUAAGCCCCAUUAAAGGAAUACGUAACAAUCUUUACAGGAUCUUAAACAUACUCAUAUCUUCUGGCUGAAUUUGUCAUUUCAGUUCUGAAUUUUGUUCAGUUAGUUGAAACAAAGGAGAAUUUUCUGAAAGAAGCUAAAAAUUUCUGCAUAAGUACAGUUCUUCAGUUAUACAUUUCUCAGCUUUCUGUUAGAUGUUUGACCCGUAUAAUCGAUAUUUCUGAAUAACUGGGCAGUUUGUGAAUUCCUGUACUCCAAAAGACAAUGAUAGCAAUAAAUCAAGGAUUUUGUUUUCAAGAGGGUAGCAAUUGUCCAACUAAUUUUCAAGAAACAUACCAAAACCAUACAAAAGUCUAUUUUUAUUGGUCAUGCAUUGGCCUUCAUUGGUAUUAAAAAUUGUCCCCAAGUUGGGCGCUUUGGUUUCCUUUUAACAGUUCCGAGUUGUCAGAUACUAUGCAGUUUUCCAAAUCAGAAAUACUGAGUAUAUAAAAAUUAUUUAAUACAUACAACAAGUGCUCAUGUUGUCACAGUCAGUGCUUAGAACUUUAUCACAUCUCCCUACAAUUUAUGCUUGCUGUAUUGUCUUGUGUGUUUUCUGCCUUGUAAUUCUGCUUCUCUGACUGUUGCUAAUUUUCUGAAACUCAAGCUGCCUCAGAAGGAUCACCAGUAUUCUUCAGCCCCACGUGAUUUUUUUUUUAAUUCAGUCAUAAGAUUGUCCUUCAGA
Dromaius novaehollandiae (emu) is the source of this 1828-nucleotide long non-coding RNA. RefSeq lists it as uncharacterized. The transcript is spliced from 3 exons. NCBI's taxonomy places the organism in Eukaryota, Metazoa, Chordata, Aves, Casuariiformes, Dromaiidae. The record is from RefSeq and is a predicted model, not a curated record.